ACUAAGCAUAUCAAUAAGCGGAGGAGAGAAAACCAACCCGGCAUUGCCUCAGUAACGGCGAGUGAAGCGGCAACAGCUCAAAUUUGAAAACCUCUUCCUCGCGUUGAGGUAUUGUAAUUUGCAGAGGAUGUCUUUGGUGCGACACCUAGCUAAGUCCAUUGGAACAUGGCGUCACAGAGGGUGAUAAUCCCGUAUGUGCUAGGCUGUCAAUCCUUCAGAAGACUCCUUCGACGAGUCGAGUUGUUUGGGAAUGCAGCUCUAAAUGGGUGGUAAAUGCCAUCUAAGGAUAAAUACCGGCCAGAGACCGAUAGCGCACAAGUAGAGUGAUCGAAAGAUGAAAAGCACUUUGAAAAGAGAGUUAAAAAGUACGUGAAAUUGUUGAAAGGGAAGCGCUUGCAGCCAGACUUGGCUGGGGUGAUCAACCGUGUUUCGGUGCGGUGCACUCGCCUCCCGCCAGGCCAGCAUCAGUUCGGGCGGUCGGAUAAAGGCCCCGGGAACGUAGCUCCCUUUGGAGUGUUAUAGCCCGGGGCGUCAUGCGGCCAGCCUGGACUGAGGCCCGCGCUCUGCUAGGAUGCUGGCAUAAUGGUUGUCAGCGACCCGUCUUGAAACACGGACCAAGGAGUCGACCAAUUUUGCGAGUGUUUGGGUGUCAAACCCACACGCGUAAUGAAAGUGAACGGAGGUGAGAAGCUUCGGGUGCAUCAUCGACCGAUCCUGAUGUCUUCGGAUGGAUUUGAGUAAGAGCACAGUUGGUCGGACCCGAAAGAUGGUGAUCUAUACUUGAAUAGGGUGAAGCCAGAGGAAACUCUGGUGGAGGCUCGCAGCGGUUCUGACGUGCAAAUCGAUCGUCGAAAUUUGAGCUAUAGGGCGAAGACUACAUCG
Molecule: ribosomal RNA, 882 nt
Filed under: Micropeltis phetchaburiensis
Lineage: Eukaryota; Fungi; Ascomycota; Lecanoromycetes; Micropeltidales; Micropeltidaceae
Description: partial large subunit ribosomal RNA
Rfam family: Eukaryotic large subunit ribosomal RNA
Source: RNAcentral